GAUGAACGCUAGCUACAGGCUUAACACAUGCAAGUCGAGGGGAAACGACAUCGAAAGCUUGCUUUUGAUGGGCGUCGACCGGCGCACGGGUGAGUAACGCGUAUCCAACCUGCCCAUCACUUGGGAAUAACCUUGCGAAAGUAAGACUAAUACCCAAUGACAUCCCACGAAGACAUCUGAAUGGGAUUAAAGAUUUAUCGGUGAUGGAUGGGGAUGCGUCUGAUUAGCUUGUUGGCGGGGUAACGGCCCACCAAGGCAACGAUCAGUAGGGGUUCUGAGAGGAAGGUCCCCCACAUUGGAACUGAGACACGGUCCAAACUCCUACGAGAGGCAGCAGUGAUGAAUAUUGGUCAAUAGGCUAGAUCCUGAACCAGCCAAGUAGCGUGCAGGAUUACGGCCCUAUGGGUGGUAAACUGCUUUUAUAAGGGAAUAAAGUGGGUCUCGUGAGACUUUUUGCAUGUACCUUAUGAAUAAGGACCGGCUAAUUCCGUG
This 492-nucleotide ribosomal RNA is filed under the name uncultured bacterium. RNAcentral describes it as "partial 16S ribosomal RNA". It matches the Rfam family "Bacterial small subunit ribosomal RNA", at positions 28 to 507 of the family's 1533-position model. The record is from RNAcentral.